This 377-nucleotide unclassified non-coding RNA is filed under the name uncultured Microbacteriaceae bacterium. RNAcentral's name for it is "contains 16S-23S intergenic spacer region". The record is from RNAcentral. Lineage: Bacteria; Bacillati; Actinomycetota; Actinomycetes; Micrococcales; Microbacteriaceae.
UCCGAGUUGACCCCGGCAGUCUCCUAUGAGUUCCCGCCAUGACGCGCUGGCAACAUAGAACGAGGGUUGCGCUCGUUGCGGGACUUAACCCAACAUCUCACGACACGAGCUGACGACAACCAUGCACCACCUGUGCACCUGUCUUGCGAGGAGACUGUUUCCAGCCUUUUCAGGUGCAUGUCAAGCCUUGGUAAGGUUCUUCGCGUUGCAUCGAAUUAAUCCGCAUGCUCCGCCGCUUGUGCGGGCCCCCGUCAAUUCCUUUGAGUUUUAGCCUUGCGGCCGUACUCCCCAGGCGGGGAACUUAAUGCGUUAGCUGCGACACGGAAUCCGUGGAAUGGACCCCACAUCUAGUUCCCAACGUUUACGGCGUGGACUAC